This 338-nucleotide unclassified non-coding RNA is filed under the name Athalia rosae (coleseed sawfly). Its description in RNAcentral is "misc RNA ENSAEAG00005003772.1". The record is from RNAcentral. Lineage: Eukaryota; Metazoa; Arthropoda; Insecta; Hymenoptera; Athaliidae.
UGCCACUAGGGUUGUAGGUAACAACGCAUACACAACCACGUAUUUUUUGAUUGCAGAAUAUAUCCUCCCUGAAAUUGGCGGUCUUAUUCAAUGCAGCAAUUACGAUUGUGGACCAAUCGCUCCUGAUUAAAGGUGGCAGCUGUGGAUGUGAGAUGGCUAUUGAUGAAGUGAAUAUUGAAAAUUUGUGCAAUCAACAAAAGCCUAUUGUGAUUGCUUGAUAAUUUUUCAAUAAUAAUAUCUCAAACUCGAAGAAAAAUAAUUAAUAAUUUAAAUAAUUUGUCGAAUUAUGUUUCUCAUAUUACCUACGUAAUCAUUGAAUAAAGUUGAAUACCAUUUUG